This 485-nucleotide long non-coding RNA is filed under the name Heterocephalus glaber (naked mole-rat). RNAcentral describes it as "lncRNA (ENSHGLG00000031086.2)". The record is from RNAcentral. Lineage: Eukaryota; Metazoa; Chordata; Mammalia; Rodentia; Bathyergidae.
CAAAGCGGUCAUGUGCCAUCACAGUUGGAAGCAUGUCAUUCAUGGAUCCGAAAAGGAUAAAAAGGGACAUCUGUGUCAGGCAGUCUGCAUGGAAGAUGGCCCUGCUGUGAGUUAAGAUGUCACAAUCAUCUUUGGGACCAUGAUGGAGAUGAAACAGAUGUCAGCUGAGGACAGGUUGGAGAGGAAGAAGCACAUAGGGGUGCAGAGGUGGGAGUCAGAGCUGACAGCGAAGAUGAUGAGCAGGUUCCCAAGCACUGUGACCAGGCAAGGCUCCUGCAGGUGCAGAAACUGAAUUUCUAGAAUUCUGAAUAUGCUGGAGAUACCUGGCCCAGAAAAAGAUGGGUGAGAAUCACAAGCUUGAGAUCAGGUUAUUCUAUCAGUGGCUGACCUAUCCUCUCAGGUGUAAAGAGGGAAAAGUCCACCUAUACCUCACACCCAUGUUCAUUCUUUUUAGUAUGGUAUCAAAUUGAUUGUAGGAAAAGAGA